AGAAUCAACGCUGGCGGCGUGCCUAACACAUGCAAGUCGAACGAGAAAGUGGAGCAAUCCAUGAGUAAAGUGGCGCACGGGUGAGUAACACGUGACUAACCUACCUUUUAGUGGGGGAUAACCUAGGGAAACCUGGGCUAAUACCGCAUAAUACCUACGGGUCAAAGCAGCAAUGCGCUGGAAGAGGGGGUCGCGGCCGAUUAGCUAGUUGGCGGGGUAAUGGCCCACCAAGGCAGUGAUCGGUAUCCGGCCUGAGAGGGCGCACGGACACACUGGAACUGAAACACGGUCCAGACUCCUACGGGAGGCAGCAGUGGGAAUUUUGCGCAAUGGGGGAAACCCUGACGCAGCAACGCCGCGUGGAGGAUGAAGCCCCUUGGGGCGUAAACUCCUUUCGAUCGGGAAGAUAAUGACGGUACCGGAAGAAGAAGCCCCGGCUAACUUCGUGCCAGCAGCCGC
Molecule: ribosomal RNA, 459 nt
Filed under: uncultured bacterium
Lineage: Bacteria
Description: SSU rRNA
Rfam family: Bacterial small subunit ribosomal RNA
Source: RNAcentral